GCCUACGGGGGGCAGCAGUAGGGAAUCUUCCACAAUGGGCGCAAGCCUGAUGGAGCAACGCCGCGUGGGUGAAGAAGGUCUUCGGAUCGUAAAACCCUGUUGUUAGAGAAGAAAGUGCGUGAGAGUAACUGUUCACGUUUCGACGGUAUCUAACCAGAAAGCCACGGCUAACUACGUGCCAGCAGCCGCGGUAAUACGUAGGUGGCAAGCGUUAUCCGGAUUUAUUGGGCGUAAAGGGAACGCAGGCGGCCUUUUAAGUCUGAUGUGAAAGCCUUCGGCUUAACCGGAGUAGUGCAUUGGAAACU
Molecule: ribosomal RNA, 305 nt
Filed under: uncultured bacterium
Lineage: Bacteria
Description: bacterial SSU rRNA
Rfam family: Bacterial small subunit ribosomal RNA
Source: RNAcentral